This 164-nucleotide ribosomal RNA is filed under the name Coffea humilis. RNAcentral's name for it is "5.8S ribosomal RNA". It matches the Rfam family "5.8S ribosomal RNA". Rfam says of the family: 5.8S ribosomal RNA (5.8S rRNA) is a component of the large subunit of the eukaryotic ribosome. It is transcribed by RNA polymerase I as part of the 45S precursor that also contains 18S and 28S rRNA. Functionally, it is thought that 5.8S rRNA may be involved in ribosome translocation. RNAcentral also lists the same sequence under 3 other names. Lineage: Eukaryota; Viridiplantae; Streptophyta; Magnoliopsida; Gentianales; Rubiaceae. The record is from RNAcentral.
AAAACGACUCUCGGCAACGGAUAUCUCGGCUCUCGCAUCGAUGAAGAACGCAGCGAAAUGCGAUACUUGGUGUGAAUUGCAGAAUCCCGCGAACCAUCGAGUCUUUGAACGCAAGUUGCGCCCGAAGCCUUUAGGCCGAGGGCACGUCUGCCUGGGCGUCACGC